CAGAGGGUGCAAGCGUUGUUCGGAAUUACUGGGCGUAAAGCGCGCGCAGGCGGAUCCUGUAAGUCGGAAGUGAAAUUUCGGAGCUCAACUCCGAAGCUGCUUUCUGAUACUGCGGAUCUGGAGAUCGGUAGAGGUCGGUAGAAUUACAGGUGUAGCGGUGGAAUGCGUAGAUAUCUGUAAGAAUACCCGUGGCGAAGGCGGCCGACUGGGCCGGAUCUGACGCUGAGGCGCGAAAGCGUGGGGAGCAAACAGGAUUAGAUACCCUGGUAGUCCACGCCGUAAACGAUGGGCACUAGGUGCCGGGGGGAGCGACCCCUUCGGUGCCGCAGCUAACGCGAUAAGUGCCCCGCCUGGGGAGUACGGCCGCAAGGCUG
This 374-nucleotide ribosomal RNA is filed under the name uncultured organism. RNAcentral's name for it is "bacterial SSU rRNA". It matches the Rfam family "Bacterial small subunit ribosomal RNA", at positions 526 to 896 of the family's 1533-position model. The record is from RNAcentral.